AAGACGAGAAGACCCUGUGGAACUUCAAAAUCAACAGCCACACCUCACAACCCACAAACCUACCAGGCCCACCACCCAACAUCCUCACUGGCCUGUAUUUUUUGGCUGGGACGGCCCCGGAGAAAAGCAGAUCCUCCAGAAAGACGACCCGACCUCUUGACCAAGAGCAACCUCUCAACGUGCUAACAGCCCCCAGAUCCAGUAUAACUGAACAAUGAACCAAGCUACCCCAGGGAUAACAGUGCAAUCCCCUUCAAGAGCCCACAUCGACAAGGGGGUUUACGAUCUCGAUGGUGGAUCAGGACCCCCUAAUGGUGCAGUCGCUAACAAGGGUUCGUUUGUUCAAUGAUUAACAGUCCCACGUGAUCCGAGUUCACACCAGAGCAAUCCAGGUCAGUUUCUAUCU
RNAcentral lists this non-coding RNA (406 nucleotides) under Dryobates pubescens (Downy woodpecker). Its description in RNAcentral is "Picoides pubescens (downy woodpecker) Bacterial large subunit ribosomal RNA". It matches the Rfam family "Bacterial large subunit ribosomal RNA", at positions 2077 to 2643 of the family's 2925-position model. Lineage: Eukaryota; Metazoa; Chordata; Aves; Piciformes; Picidae. The record is from Rfam by way of RNAcentral.